UCCCAAGCAAGAGAGAUUCCAAAGUG
This 26-nucleotide non-coding RNA is filed under the name Rattus norvegicus (Norway rat). The record is from RNAcentral. Lineage: Eukaryota; Metazoa; Chordata; Mammalia; Rodentia; Muridae.